CCGCGGCUAGACGGAAAGACCCCGUGAACCUUUACUACAGCUUGGCACUGAACAUUGAACCUACAUGUGUAGGAUAGGUGGGAGACUUUGAAGCAGAGACGCUAGUUUUUGUGGAGUCGUCCUUGAAAUACCACCCUUGUAGUUUUGAUGUUCUAACGUUGGCCCCUGAAUCGGGGUUACGGACAGUGCCUGGUGGGUAGUUUGACUGGGGCGGUCUCCUCCUAAAGAGUAACGGAGGAGUACGAAGGUGCGCUCAGCGUGGUCGGAAAUCACGCGUAGAGUAUAAAGGCAAAAGCGCGCUUAACUGCGAGACCCACAAGUCGAGCAGGUACGAAAGUAGGUCUUAGUGAUCCGGUGGUUCUGUAUGGAAGGGCCAUCGCUCAACGGAUAAAAGGUACUCCGGGGAUAACAGGCUGAUACCGCCCAAGAGUUCAUAUCGACGGCGGUGUUUGGCACCUCGAUGUCGGCUCAUCACAUCCUGGGGCUGAAGUCGGUCCCAAGGGUAUGGCUGUUCGCCAUUUAAAGUGGUACGCGAGCUGGGUUUAGAACGUCGUGAGACAGUUCGGUCCCUAUCUGCCGUGGGCGUCGGAAGUUUGAGAAGAGCUGCUCCUAGUACGAGAGGACCGGAGUGGACGAACCUCUGGUGUUCCGGUUGUCACGCCAGUGGCAUUGCCGGGUAGCUAUGUUCGGACGGGAUAACCGCUGAAAGCAUCUAAGCGGGAAGCCCCCUUCAAGAUGAGACUUCCCUGAGGCCUUGCGCCUCCUGAAGGGCCCUUGAAGACUACAAGGUUGAUAGGCUGGGUGUGGAAGCACAGCAAUGUGUUGAGCUAACCAGUACUAAUUGCCCGUGAGGCUUGACC
RNAcentral lists this ribosomal RNA (860 nucleotides) under uncultured Uronema sp. RNAcentral describes it as "partial Bacterial large subunit ribosomal RNA". It matches the Rfam family "Bacterial large subunit ribosomal RNA", at positions 2070 to 2925 of the family's 2925-position model. Lineage: Eukaryota; Ciliophora; Oligohymenophorea; Philasterida; Uronematidae. The record is from RNAcentral.